AUUGAACGAUGGCGGCAGGCCUAACACAUGCAAGUCGAGCGAGCGGCGGACGGGUGAGUAAUGUCUGGGAAACUGCCUGAUGGAGGGGGAUAACUACUGGAAACGGUAGCUAAUACCGCAUACCAUCAGAUGUGCCCAGAUGGGAUUAGCUAGUAGGUGGGGUAACGGCUCACCAAGGCGACGAUCCGUAACUGGUCUGAGAGGAUGAUCAGUCACAAUUGAACGGAGACAGGGUCCGUGCUCCUACGUGAGGCAGCAGUGGGCAAUAUCGGACAACGGGCGAAAGCCUGAUCCAGACAUGCCGCGUGUGGGAAGAAGGUCUUCGUAUUGUAAAGCACUUUAAGUGUGGAGGCUUUACCAACAGAAGAAGCACCGGCUAACUCCGUGGCAGCAGCCGCGGGAAUAC
RNAcentral lists this ribosomal RNA (406 nucleotides) under uncultured bacterium. Its description in RNAcentral is "partial 16S ribosomal RNA". It matches the Rfam family "Bacterial small subunit ribosomal RNA", at positions 30 to 526 of the family's 1533-position model. The record is from RNAcentral.